GAACGAACGCUGGCGGCAGGCCUAACACAUGCAAGUCGAGGGUGAAGCCGGACUUCGGUCUGGUGGAAACCGGCGCACGGGUGAGUAACGCGUGGGAACCUAUCCUGAGGUGGGGGAUAACCGCUGGAAACGGCGGCUAAUACCGCAUACGCCCCUCUUGGUGACGCUUCAGCGCCCUGGGAGGGUCCCGCGUCCGAUUAGCUUGUUGGUGGGGUAACGGCCCACCAAGGCUUCUAUCGGUAGCUGGUCUGAGAGGAUGAUCAGCCACACUGGGACUGAGACACGGCCCAGACUCCUACGGGAGGCAGCAGUGGGGAAUAUUGGACAAUGGGCGCAAGCCUGAUCCAGCCAUGCCGCGUGAGUGAAGAAGGCCUUAGGGUUGUAAAGCUCUUUCACCCGCGAAGAUGAUGACGGUAGCGGGAGAAGAAGCCCCGGCUAACUCCGUGCCAGCAGCCGCGGUAAUACGGAGGGGGCGAGCGUUGUUCGGAAUUACUGGGCGUAAAGGGCGCGUAGGCGGGCCGAUUAGUCGAGAUUUAAAUGCCACGGCUUAACCGUGGACCUGGUCUCGAUACUGUCGGUCUUGAGUUUGGUAGAGGCAAGCGGAAUUCCUGGUGUAGCGGUGAAAUGCGUAGAUAUCAGGAAGAACACCGAAGGCGAAGGCAGCUUGCUGGGCCAAAACUGACGCUGAGGAGCGAAAGCGUGGGUAGCGAACAGGAUUAGAUACCCUGGUAGUCCACGCCGUAAACGAUGAGUACUUGGUGGCGGGGGAUUCGACCCCUUCGCUGUCGGAGCUAACGCGUUAAGUACUCCACCUGGGGACUACGAUCGCAAGAUUGAAACUCAAAGGAAUUGACGGGGGCCCGCACAAGCGGUGGAUUAUGUGGUUUAAUUCGAUGCAACGCGAAGAACCUUACCUAGGCUUGACAUGUACAGGAAACUCUGGUGAAAGCCAGAGCCCCUGCGAGCUUGCUCAAAGGCCUGUUCACAGGUGAUGCAUGGCUGUCGUCAGCUCGUGUCGUGAGAUGUUGGGUUAAGUCCCGCAACGAGCGCAACCCCUGUCCUUAGUUGCCAGCACGUAAUGGUGGGGACUCUAGGGAGACUGCCUGGGAUAACCAGGAGGAAGGUGGGGAUGACGUCAAGUCAGUAUGUCCCUUAUGCUUAGGGCUACACACGUGUUACAAUGGUCAGUACAAAGGGUUGCUAAGCCGCGAGGUGGAGCCAAUCUCAAAAAACCGGUCUCAGUUCGGAUUGGAGUCUGCAACUCGACUCCAUGAAGGUGGAAUCGCUAGUAAUCGUGGAUCAGCAUGCCACGGUGAAUACGUUCCCGGGUCUUGUACACACCGC
Molecule: ribosomal RNA, 1344 nt
Filed under: uncultured prokaryote
Description: partial 16S ribosomal RNA
Rfam family: Bacterial small subunit ribosomal RNA
Source: RNAcentral